RNAcentral lists this transfer RNA (71 nucleotides) under Loxodonta africana (African savanna elephant). It matches the Rfam family "tRNA". Rfam says of the family: Transfer RNA (tRNA) molecules are approximately 80 nucleotides in length. Their secondary structure includes four short double-helical elements and three loops (D, anti-codon, and T loops). Lineage: Eukaryota; Metazoa; Chordata; Mammalia; Proboscidea; Elephantidae. The record is from Rfam by way of RNAcentral.
ACAUUGGUGACUCAAUGGUAGAAAUCUCUCCUUCCAUGUGGGAGAUCCAGGUUCGAUUUCUGGCCAAUGCA